CAAUAGCGUAUAUUAAAGUUGUUGCAGUUAAAAAGCUCGUAGUUGGACCUUGGACCUGGACAGGCGGUCCGCCUCACGGCGAGUAUUGUCUUGCUGGGUCUUUCCUCUUGGUGAUCUGUUGUUUCGGCAGCAGGGAACCAGGACCUUUACUUUGAAAAAAUUAGAGUGUUCAAAGCAGGCUCGACGCCGGAAUAUAUUAGCAUGGAAUAAUAAAAUAGGACGUGCGGUUCUAUUUUGUUGGUUUUUGGAAUCGUCGUAAUGAUUAAUAGGGACAGUCGGGGGCAUUAGUACUCACAUGCUAGAGGUGAAAUUCUUGGAUUUUGUGAAGACUAACUUCUGCGAAAGCAUUUGCCAAGGAUGUUUUCAUUAA
Molecule: ribosomal RNA, 370 nt
Filed under: uncultured eukaryote
Lineage: Eukaryota
Description: partial 18S ribosomal RNA
Rfam family: Eukaryotic small subunit ribosomal RNA
Source: RNAcentral